UUCCAGACUCCUACGGGAGGCAGCAGUGGGGGAUAUUGCACAAUGGGGGGAACCCUGAUGCAGCGACGCCGCGUGGGUGAAGAAGCGCCUCGGCGCGUAAAGCCCUGUCAGCAGGGAAGAAAAUGACGGUACCUGAAGAAGAAGCCCCGGCUAACUACGUGCCAGCAGCCGCGGUAAUACGUAGGGGGCAAGCGUUAUCCGGAUUUACUGGGUGUAAAGGGAGCGUAGACGGAUGGAUAAGUCUGAAGUGAAAGCCCGCGGCUCAACUGCGGGACUGCUUUGGAAACUGUGCAUCUUGAGUACGGGAGGGGCAGGCGGAAUUCCUGGUGUAGCGGUGAAAUGCGUAGAUAUCAGGAGGAACACCGGCGGCGAAGGCGGCCUGCUGGACCGAAACUGACGUUGAGGCUCGAAAGCGUGGGGGGCAAACAGGAUUAGAUACCCCAGUA
This 446-nucleotide ribosomal RNA is filed under the name uncultured bacterium. RNAcentral describes it as "bacterial SSU rRNA". It matches the Rfam family "Bacterial small subunit ribosomal RNA", at positions 329 to 792 of the family's 1533-position model. The record is from RNAcentral.